Molecule: ribosomal RNA, 514 nt
Filed under: Staphylococcus sp. HMSC072E01
Lineage: Bacteria; Bacillati; Bacillota; Bacilli; Caryophanales; Staphylococcaceae
Description: bacterial LSU rRNA
Rfam family: Bacterial large subunit ribosomal RNA
Source: RNAcentral
GAUAAGGUUAAGUGAAUAAGGGCGCACGGUGGAUGCCUUGGCACUAGGAGCCGAUGAAGGACGGGACUAACACCGAUAUGCUUUGGGGAGCUGUAAGUAAGCUAUGAUCCAGAGAUUUCCGAAUGGGGGAACCCAAUAUCUUUUAUAGGAUAUUACUUUUCAGUGAAUACAUAGCUGAUUAGAGGUAGACGCAGAGAACUGAAACAUCUUAGUACCUGCAGGAAGAGAAAGAAAAUUCGAUUCCCUGAGUAGCGGCGAGCGAAACGGGAAGAGCCCAAACCAACAAGCUUGCUUGUUGGGGUUGUAGGACUCCAAUAUGGUAGUCUGUUAGUAUAGUUGAAGGAUUUGGAAAAUUCCGCUAAAGAGGGUGAAAGCCCCGUAGACGAAAUGCUAGCAACACCUAGGAGGAUCCUGAGUACGGCGGAACACGAGAAAUUCCGUCGGAAUCCGCGGGGACCAUCCCGCAAGGCUAAAUACUCCCUAGUGACCGAUAGUGAACCAGUACCGUGAGGGA